CACGGAGUUAGCCGGUGCUAUUACUCUGGUACCGUCAUCCCGCUUGUCGCGUCUUUCGUCCCAGAUUCAGAGGUUUACGAUCCGAAAACCUUCAUCCCUCACGCGGCGUCGCUCCAUCAGGCUUGCGCCCAUUGUGGAAGAUUCCUAACUGCUGCCUCCCGUAGGAGUGGGACCCGUGUCUCAGUGCCCCUGUGGCCGGCCACCCUCUCAGGCCGGCGAUCCGUCGUCGCCUUGGUGGGCCUUUACCCCGCCAACUAGCUGAUGGAACGCAACCCCAUCCCCAAACGAUCAAGUCUUUACUGCAUCCACACGAGGAUGCAGCACAUCACGUAUUAGCGUGCCUUUCGGCGCGUUAUCCGCGACUUGGGGGUAGGUCAGUUACGCGUUACUCACCCGUGCGCCACUGCCUGACCGAAAUCAGGCCGUUCGACUUGCAUGUCUUAAGCACGCCGCCAGCGUUCACCCUGAGCCAGGAUCAAACUCU
RNAcentral lists this ribosomal RNA (484 nucleotides) under uncultured Deinococcus sp. RNAcentral describes it as "partial 16S ribosomal RNA". Lineage: Bacteria; Thermotogati; Deinococcota; Deinococci; Deinococcales; Deinococcaceae. The record is from RNAcentral.